GACUGCCUUCCAGACGAUUUCGCACAGUUCACUCGCUGUUAUGGAUAAUUUUGAUCAAUUAGGGGUGAUUGGCGUGACACCAUACGCGUUUGAACCAGUGGCCCGACAAGGAGAAACAUCUACGCCAAGUGCGAGCGCGAUCGCCAGCGCGGAAGUUGGAAUGAAGCCCGCCGGAUCCGAGGACCUCAUUGCGACAUUUACCCGCGUUGGAAGUAUCGCCUGGCAAUUGAGAUUCGCUGCAUAUCGCCAGUUUGUUUGGAUGACGUGGAAGAGGCUUGGCAGGCACCACAGACGCAUCCUGCCUAGUUGUGUUCUGUGUGCCAUUCACAAGAAAUAUCCAUCGAAGAAUGGAGUGUACACGGGAUUCAGGCAUUUCUGAGCAUUUACUCAAGACAGGCAACUGGUGUACCUCCUGUCGCUUUUGGAAAUUUGACACGCCACCUAAGAGUACCAGCCUUUGUUGAUGCCUGCUCUCUUCCGCUGUUCUCGUUGUAGUGAAGAGCCGCUAGCUGUGUUCUUAAACGAAGAAGAUUCAAGUCAGGCAAAUAGUCACAUGCAACUUGUUCAUUAAGAAAAAGGAAUUAAAAAAGUAUUCACCUUG
This is a long non-coding RNA of Dermacentor silvarum, 601 nucleotides long. RefSeq lists it as uncharacterized. Lineage: Eukaryota; Metazoa; Arthropoda; Arachnida; Ixodida; Ixodidae. The record is from RefSeq and is a predicted model, not a curated record. The transcript has 3 exons.